Molecule: ribosomal RNA, 465 nt
Filed under: Vreelandella stevensii
Lineage: Bacteria; Pseudomonadati; Pseudomonadota; Gammaproteobacteria; Oceanospirillales; Halomonadaceae
Description: partial 16S ribosomal RNA
Rfam family: Bacterial small subunit ribosomal RNA
Source: RNAcentral
CCUACGGGAGGCUGCAGUGGGGAAUAUUGGACAAUGGGGGGAACCCUGAUCCAGCCAUGCCGCGUGUGUGAAGAAGGCCCUCGGGUUGUAAAGCACUUUCAGUGAGGAAGAACGCCUGGUGGUUAAUACCCAUCAGGAAAGACAUCACUCACAGAAGAAGCACCGGCUAACUCCGUGCCAGCAGCCGCGGUAAUACGGAGGGUGCGAGCGUUAAUCGGAAUUACUGGGCGUAAAGCGCGCGUAGGUGGCUUGAUAAGCCGGUUGUGAAAGCCCCGGGCUCAACCUGGGAACGGCAUCCGGAACUGUCAAGCUAGAGUGCAGGAGAGGAAGGUAGAAUUCCCGGUGUAGUGGUGAAAUGCGUAGAGAUCGGGAGGAAUACCAGUGGCGAAGGCGGCCUUCUGGACUGACACUGACACUGAGGUGCGAAAGCGUGGGUAGCAAACAGGAUUAGAUACCCGAGUAGUC